Molecule: long non-coding RNA, 1333 nt
Organism: Salmo salar (Atlantic salmon)
Lineage: Eukaryota; Metazoa; Chordata; Actinopteri; Salmoniformes; Salmonidae
Source: RefSeq, a predicted model, not a curated record
UAGUGUGUUGUAUUGGGAUUGUGAAGAAUGAUAGUUUAGCAUUUUGGGGAUAUUAUUCCAUUCAAAUUAGUUUUUUCAAAUUACAGGAGAUGGAGGAGGUAUAUUAUUAAUUGUUUUCUUGGUUUUAGAACUUUAUUUUUGUGUCCAGUUAGUGCAAAUUAUUUAAAUAUGCCUUGCUAACUUCAAUAGCUAGCUAGCAAGCUACCAGCGCGAGUGUAGUUUUCUCUGCCAGAAUAGUUGAAUGGCCAAUGCUGCCGAAUAUGUUGUGGACUUUUUGUUGAAGAACCCCUUUCAUUUUCUGGGGUACAUGGAAAAGUUGCGAAUUAAAUGCAGGGGUCGACCUCUGCCUGAGCUCAGUUUCAUGAAAAAGGAUGAAAAGUUGAGGGCGUUCAACACCAACUGGUAUCAAAAGUAUAUCUGGUUAACAGGGGACUUUCAUCAAGCCGCCUGUAUCGCUGACCUAACCUGCUUUAUGGAAAGUCUGAGCCUUGGUCGAAAGGUGGGUACAGUGAUCUGAAGAACAUUGAUCGUUCAGCUAAAUGGCAAAACAAAAGCAGGGAGCAUAUAAAUGCUCACAUCAGAUUCAAGCUUCUGUGAAAAAGCUGCAUCGAUUAUGACAAAGGUGUGCGUAUUCAAACUGCGCAACACAACGAGAAAGUAAGAAGAAACAGGGACGUUAUCAAGCUGCUUAUCAACACAACUGCGUUUUUGGGCAUGCAAGAAUUUGCUUUUAGAGGACACGACGAGAGGGAAAGUUCCACCAACAAGGGCAACUACGAGGAGGUUGCAGAGCCAAGUCUCCUCCUGUUCCCUGAUUAAGAGGUGAUGACCACUCCACUUCACUACCAUUGUCAACUUUCUCCUGACAAUAACUGAAGACCCUUCUCAUGUGGCCGCUUAUCCACUGGCACAUUGAAUGUUUCCCCUCCAAGCACUUCAAAUCCUGUCCUGCACGGGUCAAGCCUCUGAACACCAACUCAUGCCUCAUACCCUCAUUCAAUCACUGCUGUGAUCCCUUUCCAACAUUAUGUAAGUAGCCCUCUCAUUCCCAUUCCCCAUAGUAUUGUACCAUAAAUGACUUUAUUAAAUGCUUUAGGUUAAAAUAAUUAAUCUUUGACGAUUUUUUUAAACACACUUUGUGGUCUCCGUGCAUUCUGCGCCUAUACCGUGGGUCUCCCAUCCUCCUCAAUUAUUCAAGUCACCGGCCUCCACUGCUAUGAACAGAGGUCCUCAUAGAAAGUGGCACCAAACCGCCUAUGUUGACAGCCAGGUCUCAUGUAACAUUGUAAAUGUGAAUUCGGGAUUUACAAUUGAAGUCGGAAGUUUACAUACA